Molecule: ribosomal RNA, 449 nt
Filed under: uncultured bacterium
Lineage: Bacteria
Description: bacterial SSU rRNA
Rfam family: Bacterial small subunit ribosomal RNA
Source: RNAcentral
UGGGGAAUUUUGGACAAUGGGGGCAACCCUGAUCCAGCCAUGCCGCGUGCGGGAAGAAGGCCUUCGGGUUGUAAACCGCUUUCGGCCGGGACGAAAUCGCAUCGAUGAAUAGUCGGUGUGGAUGACGGUACCGGAAGAAGAAGCACCGGCUAACUACGUGCCAGCAGCCGCGGUAAUACGUAGGGUGCGAGCGUUAAUCGGAAUUACUGGGCGUAAAGCGUGCGCAGGUGGCUGCGUAAGCUAGAGGUGAAAUCCCCGGGCUUAACCUGGGAACUGCCUUUAGGACUGCGUAGCUGGAGUGCGGCAGAGGGAGCUGGAAUUCCACGUGUAGCAGUGAAAUGCGUAGAUAUGUGGAGGAACACCGAUGGCGAAGGCAGGCUCCUGGGCUAGCACUGACACUCAGGCACGAAAGCGUGGGGAGCAAACAGGAUUAGAUACCCGCGUAGUCC